CCUACGGCGGGCUGCAGUGGGGGAUAUUGGACAAUGGGGGGAACCCUGAUCCAGCGACGCCGCGUGAGUGAAGAAGUAUUUCGGUAUGUAACGCUCUGUCAGCAGGGAAGAAAGCAAUGACGGUACCUGACCAAGAAGUCCCGGCUAACUACGUGCCAGCAGCCGCGGUAAUACGUGGGGGGCAAGCGUUAUCCGGAAUUACUGGGUGUAAAGGGAGCGUAGACGGGUGUGCAAGUCUGGAGUGAAAGGCGGGGGCUCAACCCACGGACUGCUCUGGAAACUGUAUGGCUGGAGGGCAGGAGAGGUAAGCGGAAUUCCUAGUGUAGCGGUGAAAUGCGUAGAUAUUAGGAGGAACACCAGUGGCGAAGGCGGAUUACUGGACUGUAACUGACGUGGAGGCUCGAAAGCGUGGGGAGCAAACAGGAUUAAAUACCCCAGUAGUC
RNAcentral lists this ribosomal RNA (443 nucleotides) under uncultured bacterium. Its description in RNAcentral is "partial 16S ribosomal RNA". It matches the Rfam family "Bacterial small subunit ribosomal RNA", at positions 338 to 795 of the family's 1533-position model. The record is from RNAcentral.